UCUCCGUUGGUGAACCAGCGGAGGGAUCAUUACAGAGUUUUCACAACUCCCAACCCUUGCGAACCGCACCUAUUUUGUUCUCGUUGCUUCCGGCCGGCCGGAAGGGGGGGCCCGAAACGGCCUCCCCGCCUCGCCCGCCGGUGGCGGCGGGCCCUACGAACCAUACUAUCACAAACACCAGAAAUCCACCGACAAAACAAACAAAACAAUCAAAACUUUCAACAACGGAUCACCUGGCUCUGGCACCGAUGAAGAACGUAGCAGAUCGGCAAAGCACAC
Molecule: unclassified non-coding RNA, 279 nt
Filed under: plant metagenome
Description: partial contains small subunit ribosomal RNA, internal transcribed spacer 1, and 5.8S ribosomal RNA
Source: RNAcentral